This 444-nucleotide ribosomal RNA is filed under the name uncultured bacterium. RNAcentral describes it as "bacterial SSU rRNA". It matches the Rfam family "Bacterial small subunit ribosomal RNA", at positions 338 to 795 of the family's 1533-position model. The record is from RNAcentral.
CCUACGGGAGGCAGCAGUGGGGAAUUUUCCGCAAUGGGCGAAAGCCUGACGGAGCAAUACCGCGUGAGGGAUGAAGGCCUAUGGGUUGUAAACCUCUUUUUUCAGGGAGGAAUAAAAUGACGUGUACCUGAAGAAUAAGCAUCGGCUAACUCCGUGCCAGCAGCCGCGGUAAGACGGGGGAUGCAAGUGUUAUCCGGAAUCACUGGGCGUAAAGCGUCUGUAGGUGGUUAAAUAAGUCAACUGUUAAAUCUUGAGGCUCAACCUCAAAAUCGCAGUCGAAACUGUUUGACUAGAGUAUAGUAGGGGUAAAGGGAAUUUCCAGUGGAGCGGUGAAAUGCGUAGAGAUUGGAAAGAACACCGAUGGCGAAGGCACUUUACUGGGCUAUUACUAACACUGAGAGACGAAAGCUAGGGUAGCAAAUGGGAUUAGAUACCCCAGUAGUC